Non-coding RNA from Lentinula edodes (shiitake mushroom), 102 nucleotides. The record is from Rfam. NCBI's taxonomy places the organism in Eukaryota, Fungi, Basidiomycota, Agaricomycetes, Agaricales, Omphalotaceae.
GCUUCCUUAGCUCAGUCGGUAGAGCGCCAGUCUCAUAGUUGAUUAUGAGCAGUGGAAUACUGCGCAAUCUGGAGGUCGCAAGUUCGAGACUUGCAGGGAGCA